UAUAAAUGUUCUUGGCUUUCAGACAUGUUUUUUUUCUUGGCUUUCACAGCUGUAUUGCCUUUUCUUGACUUUCACACCUAUUUUACUUUAUUCUUUAAAGGAGGUGCCAAAAAGAGAAACUCACCAGUCCGUGUAAAAGACCGAAGCACCAGCUGGAUGCAGCACGACUUUUGACAAGAAAAAGACGGACACACCUGGCCUAGACGGCACGACCUUGGACAUGAUUGCAUGUGGGGAGCCCAAGUAUUAUGCAAAAGAAGAGCUUUCAGCCACUUUGAAAGUUCUUAUCGAUAAAAAGAAAGAUGCUUUAAAACCAGAAGUUAAAGAUUUAAUUUGUGACAUUGAAAGGCUUACUGAGAGAAUGCCUGCCUUAGUGAUGAACUGAGACUCAGCAACUAGAACAAGGAAAACCAGAUCCCUGCCAGCGUGACACGUAAUACAACCUAUAGAAGGUCUUCUCCUUAUUUUAUAUCUGCUAGAAAAAGAUUAAUUAUGACCACAAUUGGUCGCUCAGUCGUCUGGGCUUAUGUGUUUAGCUCUGUUGAACAUUUAGGAGAAAAAUGUGCUGAAUGUCAAGAGAACAAAUGGAUACCAGAUGGACACAUUUGUAGUAUUUGGUUCUCUAAACCAUUUAUUGAAUAUAAACAGUUUAUUGAUGCUCCAAAGGGCUUGAUGAGAUAGACUUGUGUCCUGUGUGCUGCUUUGUUAAAAAUGUAUAAUCUCCAUUGUUUUCGUAAAGCUAUCAAGAAUGAUGUGGAUGAUAUUAUAGCUGAAUAUGAGCAGAGAGAGACACUCAGUGAUGGAUACGCACAACUGAUUCAGCCUGUGAAGACCAGCGUUAUGUGGU
Polypterus senegalus (gray bichir) is the source of this 847-nucleotide long non-coding RNA. RefSeq lists it as uncharacterized. Lineage: Eukaryota; Metazoa; Chordata; Cladistia; Polypteriformes; Polypteridae. The transcript has 3 exons. The record is from RefSeq and is a predicted model, not a curated record.